RNAcentral lists this ribosomal RNA (254 nucleotides) under uncultured bacterium. RNAcentral's name for it is "partial 16S ribosomal RNA". It matches the Rfam family "Bacterial small subunit ribosomal RNA", at positions 524 to 776 of the family's 1533-position model. The record is from RNAcentral.
UACGUAGGGGGCGAGCGUUGUCCGGAUUUAUUGGGCGUAAAAGGCUUGUAGGUGGCCACGGCAAGUCGGAUGUGAAAUCUCCCGGCUCAACUGGGAGGGGUCAUUCGAUACUGCCGGGCUCGAGGCCGGUAGGGGGAAGCGGAAUUCCCGGUGUAGUGGUGGAAUGCGUAGAUAUCGGGAGGAACACCAGAGGCGAAGGCGGCUUCCUGGCCUGUUCUUGACGCUGAGGCGCGAAAGCUAGGGUAGCAAACGGG